This 253-nucleotide ribosomal RNA is filed under the name uncultured bacterium. RNAcentral's name for it is "partial 16S ribosomal RNA". It matches the Rfam family "Bacterial small subunit ribosomal RNA", at positions 524 to 776 of the family's 1533-position model. The record is from RNAcentral.
UACGGAGGGUGCAAGCGUUGUCCGGAUUUAUUGGGUUUAAAGGGUGCGUAGGUGGGUUGUUAAGUCUGGUUUGAAAGCUAGCUGCUCAACCGUUAGACGUGGCUGGAAACUGGCGGACUUGAAUGGGUUGGCGGCUGCCGGAACGGGUCAUGUAGCGGUGAAAUGCAUAGAUAUGACCCAGAACACCGAUUGCGAAGGCAGGCAGCUACGACCGGAUUGACACUGAGGCACGAGAGCAUGGGUAGCGAACAGG